GCCGGGGUGGCGGAAUUGGUAGACGCAACGGACUUAAAAUCCGUCGGGGCUUGUCCCCGUGUCGGUUCGAGUCCGACCCUCGGCACCA
This 88-nucleotide transfer RNA is filed under the name bacterium. RNAcentral describes it as "tRNA-Leu". It matches the Rfam family "tRNA". From Rfam's summary of the family: Transfer RNA (tRNA) molecules are approximately 80 nucleotides in length. Their secondary structure includes four short double-helical elements and three loops (D, anti-codon, and T loops). The record is from RNAcentral.